GACGAACGCUGGCGGCGCGCCUAACACAUGCGAGUCGAACGGAGUCAAGAGGAGCUUGCUUUUCUUGACUUAGUGGCGAACGGGUGAGUAACGCGUGAGUAACCUGCCCUGGAGUGGGGGACAACAGUUGGAAACGACUGCUAAUACCGCAUAAGCCCACGGAUCUGCAUGGAUCUGCGGGAAAAGGAUUUAUUCGCUCUAGGAUGGACUCGCGUCCAAUUAGCUAGUUGGUGAGGUAACGGCCCACCAAGGCGACGAUUGGUAGCCGGACUGAGAGGUUGAACGGCCACAUUGGGACUGAGACACGGCCCAGACUCCUACGGGAGGCAGCAGUGGGGGAUAUUGCACAAUGGGGGAAACCCUGAUGCAGCGACGCCGCGUGGAGGAAGAAGGUUUUCGGAUUGUAAACUCCUGUCGUUAGGGACGAUAAUGACGGUACCUAACAAGAAAGCACCAGCUAACUACGUG
Molecule: ribosomal RNA, 468 nt
Filed under: uncultured bacterium
Lineage: Bacteria
Description: partial 16S ribosomal RNA
Rfam family: Bacterial small subunit ribosomal RNA
Source: RNAcentral